Molecule: transfer RNA, 63 nt
Filed under: Dipodomys ordii (Ord's kangaroo rat)
Lineage: Eukaryota; Metazoa; Chordata; Mammalia; Rodentia; Heteromyidae
Rfam family: tRNA
About the family: Transfer RNA (tRNA) molecules are approximately 80 nucleotides in length. Their secondary structure includes four short double-helical elements and three loops (D, anti-codon, and T loops). Further hydrogen bonds mediate the characteristic L-shaped molecular structure. tRNAs have two regions of fundamental functional importance: the anti-codon, which is responsible for specific mRNA codon recognition, and the 3' end, to which the tRNAs corresponding amino acid is attached (by aminoacyl-tRNA synthetases). tRNAs cope with the degeneracy of the genetic code in two manners: having more than one tRNA (with a specific anti-codon) for a particular amino acid; and 'wobble' base-pairing, i.e. permitting non-standard base-pairing at the 3rd anti-codon position.
Source: Rfam by way of RNAcentral
GGGAAUGUGGCUUAGUGGUAGAGUACUUGCCUAGCAUGCAUGAAGCCCUGGGUUCCAUUCCUU